AGAGUUUGAUCCUGGCUCAGGACGAACGCUGGCGGCGUGCUUAACACAUGCAAGUCGAGCGAUGAAGCUCCUUCGGGAGUGGAUUAGCGGCGGACGGGUGAGUAACACGUGGGUAACCUGCCUCAUAGAGGGGAAUAGCCUUCCGAAAGGAAGAUUAAUACCGCAUAAGAUUGUAGUACCGCAUGGUAUAGCAAUUAAAGGAGCAAUCCGCUAUGAGAUGGACCCGCGUCGCAUUAGCUAGUUGGUGAGGUAACGGCUCACCAAGGCGACGAUGCGUAGCCGACCUGAGAGGGUGAUCGGCCACAUUGGGACUGAGACACGGCCCAGACUCCUACGGGAGGCAGCAGUGGGGAAUAUUGCACAAUGGGGGAAACCCUGAUGCAGCAACGCCGCGUGAGUGAUGACGGUCUUCGGAUUGUAAAACUCUGUCUUUGGGGACGAUGAUGACGGUACCCAAGGAGGAAGCCACGGCUAACUACGUGCCAGCAGCCGCGGUAAU
Molecule: ribosomal RNA, 499 nt
Filed under: uncultured bacterium
Lineage: Bacteria
Description: bacterial SSU rRNA
Rfam family: Bacterial small subunit ribosomal RNA
Source: RNAcentral